AUCCGGCUUGAUAACUAGGCGGCCGGUCUCAACAACCUACGACGUCUGCCUUUUAAGUAGCCGGUAUAUUGAUCUGUCGAAGAUCUUACACGUUUUCAAAGCGCUGUUAUGGCUUUUUUUUUCAGUAUUUGACGACUUUUAAAUCUUCGCAACAUAC
This 157-nucleotide small nucleolar RNA is filed under the name Penicillium arizonense. Lineage: Eukaryota; Fungi; Ascomycota; Eurotiomycetes; Eurotiales; Aspergillaceae. The record is from RNAcentral.